UUACCCGCCGAACUUAAGCAUAUCAAUAAGCGGAGGA
Molecule: ribosomal RNA, 37 nt
Filed under: Fuscoporia gilva
Lineage: Eukaryota; Fungi; Basidiomycota; Agaricomycetes; Hymenochaetales; Hymenochaetaceae
Description: partial 28S ribosomal RNA
Source: RNAcentral